Molecule: ribosomal RNA, 251 nt
Filed under: uncultured bacterium
Lineage: Bacteria
Description: partial 16S ribosomal RNA
Rfam family: Bacterial small subunit ribosomal RNA
Source: RNAcentral
GCGCUGACGAGUGGCGGACGGGUGAGUAACGCGUAGGAAUCUGCCUUAUAGUGGGGGACAACGUGGGGAAACCCACGCUAAUACCGCAUACGCCCUACGGGGGAAAGGCCGGGAUCUUCGGACCGGUCGCUAUUGGAUGAGCCUGCGUUGGAUUAGCUAGUUGGUAGGGUAAAGGCCUACCAAGGCGACGAUCCAUAGCUGGUCUGAGAGGAUGAUCAGCCACACUGGGACUGAGACACGGCCCAGACUCC